Molecule: ribosomal RNA, 860 nt
Filed under: Escherichia coli
Lineage: Bacteria; Pseudomonadati; Pseudomonadota; Gammaproteobacteria; Enterobacterales; Enterobacteriaceae
Description: partial 23S ribosomal RNA
Rfam family: Bacterial large subunit ribosomal RNA
Source: RNAcentral
AUAAUGGGUCAGCGACUUAUAUUCUGUAGCAAGGUUAACCGAAUAGGGGAGCCGAAGGGAAACCGAGUCUUAACUGGGCGUUAAGUUGCAGGGUAUAGACCCGAAACCCGGUGAUCUAGCCAUGGGCAGGUUGAAGGUUGGGUAACACUAACUGGAGGACCGAACCGACUAAUGUUGAAAAAUUAGCGGAUGACUUGUGGCUGGGGGUGAAAGGCCAAUCAAACCGGGAGAUAGCUGGUUCUCCCCGAAAGCUAUUUAGGUAGCGCCUCGUGAAUUCAUCUCCGGGGGUAGAGCACUGUUUCGGCAAGGGGGUCAUCCCGACUUACCAACCCGAUGCAAACUGCGAAUACCGGAGAAUGUUAUCACGGGAGACACACGGCGGGUGCUAACGUCCGUCGUGAAGAGGGAAACAACCCAGACCGCCAGCUAAGGUCCCAAAGUCAUGGUUAAGUGGGAAACGAUGUGGGAAGGCCCAGACAGCCAGGAUGUUGGCUUAGAAGCAGCCAUCAUUUAAAGAAAGCGUAAUAGCUCACUGGUCGAGUCGGCCUGCGCGGAAGAUGUAACGGGGCUAAACCAUGCACCGAAGCUGCGGCAGCGACGCUGAUGCGUUGUUGGGUAGGGGAGCGUUCUGUAAGCCUGCGAAGGUGUGCUGUGAGGCAUGCUGGAGGUAUCAGAAGUGCGAAUGCUGACAUAAGUAACGAUAAAGCGGGUGAAAAGCCCGCUCGCCGGAAGACCAAGGGUUCCUGUCCAACGUUAAUCGGGGCAGGGUGAGUCGACCCCUAAGGCGAGGCCGAAAGGCGUAGUCGAUGGGAAACAGGUUAAUAUUCCUGUACUUGGUGUUACUGCGAAGGGGGGACGGA